UACGUAGGUGACGAGCGUUAUCCGGAAUUAUUGGGCGUAAAGCGCACGCAGGCGGCUUUUCAAGUCUGACGUGAAAUCGCUCGGCUUAACCGGGCGCGGUCGUUGGAAACUGAAGGGCUUGAGGCAAGGAGAGGGGUGUGGAAUUCCCGGUGUAGUGGUGGAAUGCGUAGAGAUCGGGAGGAACAUCAGUGGCGCAAGCGGCACCCUGGCCUUGGCCUGACGCUCAGGUGCGAAAGCGUGGGGAGCGAACGGG
This 253-nucleotide ribosomal RNA is filed under the name uncultured prokaryote. RNAcentral describes it as "partial 16S ribosomal RNA". It matches the Rfam family "Bacterial small subunit ribosomal RNA", at positions 524 to 776 of the family's 1533-position model. The record is from RNAcentral.